CAUGCAAGUUGAACGAAGCGCUUAAAUGGAUUUCUUCGGAUUGAAGUUUUUGUGACUGAGUGGCGGACGGGUGAGUAACGCGUGGGUAACCUGCCUCAUACAGGGGGAUAACAGUUAGAAAUGACUGCUAAUACCGCAUAAGCGCACAGUGCUGCAUGGCACAGUGUGAAAAACUCCGGUGGUAUGAGAUGGACCCGCGUCUGAUUAGCUAGUUGGUGGGGUAACGGCCUACCAAGGCGACGAUCAGUAGCCGGCCUGAGAGGGUGAACGGCCACAUUGGGACUGAGACACGGCCCAAACUCCUACGGGAGGCAGCAGUGGGGAAUAUUGCACAAUGGGGGAAACCCUGAUGCAGCGACGCCGCGUGAGCGAAGAAGUAUUUCGGUAUGUAAAGCUCUAUCAGCAGGGAAGAAAAUGACGGUACCUGACUAAGAAGCACCGGCUAAAUACGUGCCAGCAGCCGCGGUAAUACGUAUGGUGCAAGCGUUAUCCGGAUUUACUGGGUGUAAAGGGAGCGUAGACGGUUGUGUAAGUCUGAUGUGAAAGCCCGGGGCUCAACCCCGGGACUGCAUUGGAAACUAUGUAACUAGAGUGUCGGAGAGGUAAGCGGAAUUCCUAGUGUAGCGGUGAAAUGCGUAGAUAUUAGGAGGAACACCAGUGGCGAAGGCGGCUUACUGGACGAUCACUGACGUUGAGGCUCGAAAGCGUGGGGAGCAAACAGGAUUAGAUACCCUGGUAGUCCACGCCGUAAACGAUGACUACUAGGUGUCGGGGAGCAAAGCUCUUCGGUGCCGCAGCAAACGCAAUAAGUAGUCCACCUGGGGAGUACGUUCGCAAGAAUGAAACUCAAAGGA
Molecule: ribosomal RNA, 854 nt
Filed under: uncultured bacterium
Lineage: Bacteria
Description: bacterial SSU rRNA
Rfam family: Bacterial small subunit ribosomal RNA
Source: RNAcentral